RNAcentral lists this ribosomal RNA (790 nucleotides) under uncultured bacterium. RNAcentral's name for it is "bacterial SSU rRNA". It matches the Rfam family "Bacterial small subunit ribosomal RNA", at positions 77 to 882 of the family's 1533-position model. The record is from RNAcentral.
CCUUCGGGGUACCGAGUGGCGAACGGGUGAGUAACACGUGGGUGAUCUGCCCUGCACUUUGGGAUAAGCCUGGGAAACUGGGUCUAAUACCGAAUAUGACCAUGGACUUNNNNNNNNNNNGUGGAAAGCUUUUGCGGUGUGGGAUGGGCCCGCGGCCUAUCAGCUUGUUGGUGGGGUAAUGGCCUACCAAGGCGACGACGGGUAGCCGGCCUGAGAGGGUGUCCGGCCACACUGGGACUGAGAUACGGCCCAGACUCCUACGGGAGGCAGCAGUGGGGAAUAUUGCACAAUGGGCGCAAGCCUGAUGCAGCGACGCCGCGUGGGGGAUGACGGCCUUCGGGUUGUAAACCUCUUUCAGUAGGGACGAAGCGCAAGUGACGGUACCUACAGAAGAAGGACCGGCCAACUACGUGCCAGCAGCCGCGGUAAUACGUAGGGUCCGAGCGUUGUCCGGAAUUACUGGGCGUAAAGAGCUCGUAGGUGGUUUGUCGCGUUGUUCGUGAAAUCUCACAACUCAAUUGUGAGCGUGCGGGCGAUACGGGCAGACUGGAGUACUGCAGGGGAGACUGGAAUUCCUGGUGUAGCGGUGGAAUGCGCAGAUAUCAGGAGGAACACCGGUGGCGAAGGCGGGUCUCUGGGCAGUAACUGACGCUGAGGAGCGAAAGCGUGGGGAGCGAACAGGAUUAGAUACCCUGGUAGUCCACGCCGUANACGGUGGGUACUAGGUGUGGGUUUCCUUCCUUGGGAUCCGUGCCGUAGCUAACGCAUUAAGUACCCCGCCUGGGGAGUA